AGGCCAUGAUCACGGAGCCGACGAAGAAGAGGAAGUCCGCCACCAAAAUCGCGGUCCGCCGCCCGAGCCGGUCGUUGGCCCAACCGCCAAUCGCCGCUCCGAUGAUCGCUCCGGCCACCGCCGUGCUCACGAUGCUCUCCUACUCAAGAAGAAUCUGAUUAUCCAUCAGAUCAGAUUUAACCCUUUCAGAUUUCAGAGGGAGAAAAAGGUUCAACCAAAUUACGAAAGCAUAGAAGAAACCAAGAGAUUACCAGUAUCAUAACCAAAGAGUAGGCCACCAAUUCCUGCAGAGAAGGCCAACCUAAGCACAUAAGGGUUCCUCCAGGCCAAGGAGAAGCACUCCCUGAAGGCAGAGGCAUCUGCUUGAUGAACUGUUCCUCCUUCCAUGACGGCUUGCAAUUGAAGAAAAACAAGAAAAGAGAGAUCUUCAAGUGAGCAUAUACAGUGGCACCAAGUCAACAUCAAGAAGGACGUGCAGCUCUGUUUGAUUGCACAAGUCCACACUUUGGAGUGAUAUGAUCUUUUGACCUUCUUUCACCACAGAUUGGAAAAGAAAUAUUUUUAAAAGGAGAAGAAGAAUCUAGUGAAUGGGGCUUUGUCUGCGGCAUGGCUUUGGCUUCUUGCUCUUGACGACCUCAUGUAGCACCACCACGAGUUAUCUGGUUUGAACCCUCCGGCUGCCAAAUUGUAGCACGAUUCUUUGAGGCCUUCGAUUAUUGGUUGAUGAUUUUAGUGUCGCUCGAUCCAAUUGAACUCUCGUAAGAGGAUCAAUAUCUUUGUCUCGGCUCCAAGCAUGCGAAGACAAACAUGAAAAGACCUUUAUCCAGAUUUUCUUGCUUCUUCUAAUUAUUUAUGCAUAAUAUCCAACACGUCA
Molecule: long non-coding RNA, 874 nt
Organism: Zingiber officinale
Lineage: Eukaryota; Viridiplantae; Streptophyta; Magnoliopsida; Zingiberales; Zingiberaceae
Exons: 2
Source: RefSeq, a predicted model, not a curated record